This is a long non-coding RNA of Felis catus (domestic cat), 4994 nucleotides long. RefSeq lists it as uncharacterized. The transcript has 2 exons. Lineage: Eukaryota; Metazoa; Chordata; Mammalia; Carnivora; Felidae. The record is from RefSeq and is a predicted model, not a curated record.
CCCUCCCUAGCGGCUGUGACAACCAAAAACGUUUCCAAAUAUUGCCAGGUCUCUCCUGGGGAGGAGAAUAGUCCAGAGUAGACCCUGGUUGAGGUUGAGAGCAACUUAAUUCUAACAAUUAACAAUAGGGUUAAUCUAUGUAAUCCUCCAAAUACUGGUUUAUAUUGUGGGAUAUACACCUGCUGAGAGACGGUCGCUUCUCUGUCCUUCAUCUGGUGGGGACACAAUAGCUUGGAAAGAGGAACCACUUCGUGCUCUAAAACCAUCCCCUCCCUUCUCUGCCAUCCUAUCUCCUGCUUACAGAUUAAUUUCUCAUUCUAGGCUCGAGUAAUAAAGCAGAAGCCCGCCAGAGAGAAUUUCCACAGGCUUUACAUCUACCUUCCCACCCGCAUGUGUGUCCACGCACCCUGCCUUCCCCCUGGUAGUGUAACUCAGAAUCAAGUCUAAAGUUCUUAUUGUCUGGCUCUAUGUUUUAAAUUCUUUAUUGUCACCCGAAAGGACUUCCAGACGAGGGGGAUGCUUCCAAACAAGGACCUGAGGUGUUGCCCCUCCGCUGCUUAAGAUUCCAACGUGAACACGUUGCUGCACACGUACCGCUCCCUUCUCUAAGAGAUUCCUGCUCUAGAGGCCCCCCAGCUGUCAGGGACUCAGAUGCCCUGAAAUCCAGGCUGUCUAAGCUUAGAAUGGCGAGCUCUCUCCCUCUUGCCAUGGUGAAAUCCACCCUUCAACACAAUCCUGUAUUCCAGGUCUCACUCCCAUUCCAGGGCGUCUCCGGAAGCGGGCGGAAGUGGUUCUGAGCCGAGCUCGCAGGAGGAAGCGGGGGCACAUGGCAGCAGAUGCACGUGUCGGGGUUGACUUAAAGCGUGUGGAAGUUCUCUUUUGAUGGCUUCUACUUUCCUGCUUGACGCUGGACUGGGAAUUUUGUCUGUUACAAGGCAGUGCUCUCCUUGUUGUGGGCCCAGAAGCUGAGACCGAGAGAGAGAGGGACCAGUUAACUUACUCAGUGACACACGUCCAGCGAGAGGCAGGAAGAGGGAGGAGUGCUGAUUGCCUGAAACCCAAUCUUCUGACCCUCUGACCUCAGCAUUCUGCUUUCUUACCGUCUUCAAAUUACCAUGGUCAUUACAACCUAUCAAAAACCAACUCUUCAUUGCCAGGACUGAGCGCUGAGUAAUUAAAUGCAUUAAAAGUCUGCUCUGUACCUGGGGUUUUGAGCUUUUACACUGCCAUUUUUUCUUCUUCUUUCUUCUAAAUAGUACAGUAAGCGCUUUUACAUUGGCUGGUUUUCCUCUUGCGUCUCUAACUUUUUCACCUUUUCUCUCUGCGUCAACUGCCGUCGUGGCUCGCGUAUCCUCAGGUUUUAAGAGGAAGGAGAAACGAAGCCAGGGAGAUGGAUAACCAGCGAUGUGGCUGUUCAUCACCUGCUCGUUGGCUAAAGGCAGUAGUGGGCGUCGCUCAGUACAGAAGGAACUCUCCGUGUGGACCGUGUGUAUGUGCAGCAGGGCCUCUGCCGUCCUGGGACAGGGUGACACCCCGGCUGAUGUUGGAUUAGCUGCAUGCGCUGAGACAAGUUACUUACAACGAGUCUCAAUUUUCUCAUCUAAAAAAUUCAUAACCCGUGCCCCUCGGUGCUGCCGUGGAUAAAGCAAGUCCACUUAUUAAGGUGCCUGUUAAGUGGUCCUGGCACACCCUUUACACAUACAACUGGAGUCAGGAGCACUCUCCCCCGUGGGGCCCCUAAACUCCUCAUCCCCAGCCCAGUGGGAAGGAUUAAUGCAUUCUUUCUUGAAAGAACUUACGUGUACAUAUGGAAUUGGCAAAAGUCUGGCUCUUUGGCCUGAUUCCAAGCAAAACUAAUCAUCAGAAACUUCAUGCAGAUUUACGAUUACUUUUUCUAUAACAGGGUGAGGCCCAGGCUGCUGAGACAGAAUUAAAAAGGGGCUGGUACAAGCAGAGAAGGCUCAGGUCUUCACAAAGAAGGAUUUUCACGCAGGGCACCGCAUGUGCAACUGUGACUCAAGGUCGGCUGUAAAUUAGCAUCAAGUGUUAAAACAGCCCAGCGCCCCUUGCUUAAGAUUGUUGUGAUGAGGCCUCACAACUGGGCUAUGGGCUUUCAUUUAAGGCUAAUGAAGAGUCACAUUGGAUCUUCUCAAUAUAGUACGCAUGAUCCAACACAUAAUUUAAUGUUAUGAAGGCUGAUGGGCACACAGAGGUCUUUCUCACUGUGGAUGGGAUGGCCAUGGCUUUGAGCUAGAAGCCCGGGUUCCAGACCACAUCUUGCCACAUACUAACUGUGAGAUCUGUAACGAACCAUCGUCUUUCUCUGCCCCGAUCCCCAUUUAUAAAAUGGCAGAUUAAGGUCAGGAUGGAGGGCAUCAGCUGCAGGCAGACUGCAGAAACAGUUUGCUACACACUGGCUAUAUACACUUUGAGGAGACAUUAAAUUUAUUACCGGUACUAAAAAAUUGGCAGAGUUCACAUACAAAAAAAAUGUGCAUUUUUGGCCUCUUCGAGAAAGCUGGGGGAUUGGGCAACAAGCUUUGCAUUUCGUAAUGGCAGCAGGUGGAUGGUGCUGAUCCGUAGUUACUGCAUUUUGCUUGGUCACAGGCUGGUUUUUCAGCCUGCCACUGUCCCCACCAUCCCCUCUCAGUGCCACCUGGCCUCCGUUAUUCAUCUCUAUAUUUUCUCUUCCCUGCGUUAUAGUUUGAAAUCCCUGUAUUGUGAAAACUCUUGUAGUUUUCAAGCAAUUGAUUGAUUUAGGAUUUUGGGGAUGGUGUGAUGUGUGGACUUAUCUGAGUAUUGCCAGGGAAAUACUUUAGUGACACAAAAAUCUAGUACUCUUGUACUCUUGUACUAACACACCUAAGAUGCUUCUGGCUCAAUUUAUGCAAUAAGUUAAUUUUGAAACCCUACUACUAUGUGAAAAUGUUUGCUGGCAUAUACUGGAGAUACAAGGUUGAACAAAGGUUGGUGGGUAAGGAAGACAGAAAAUAAAUAAGCAAACGGCCAAACGAAUGUUAAUGAAAUGGACAUCUGAGAGAAUUCCACUAUCACAGAAGAACAGAUUUCAUGAAAAAGAACCAUUCCGGGGGAUGUCCCUUCAGGCUGGGGGGUUGCCAUUUAAGCAGAGAAUCGGGGAUGCCGAAGAAGGCGAAAAAGGUCAGUGUGGCUGAACUUUAGUGGGUCAGAAGACAGAGGAGGUAGAGAGGGAUCUGGGUAGUAGGCAGUGGCUAGAGCAACAGGGCUUUGGAGGACCUGACUGAGAGCCCAGCUUGAUUUUUCAAAGCUUAGGGAUGAAACAGAUGGGGCCAUUCAUGAACACCCACUCUGUCAUGGAUCAGGAAUCUUGCUCAGGGAACCCACUGAGUCAUUAAACAAAUAGGCCCUCCUCGCCCCUUCAUCCAACUUUCUGACCCUCCCUCUGUGCCCUUUCCCCAUAUUAUCAGUGGCCCACUGAGUUGAUGGCAUUAAGGAUAUCAUUUACAGAUAGAGGUUGCUUUUCUUGCACAGGUCAUGAUGGAGUCAUUUAAAGAAAGAAAACUAGCACUUCCUGAAAAUGCUCCACUUGCCAGAUCUAUUCCGUAUAAUUGAAAACAAAGAAACCCUUUGUACCAGAGUAUAAAUGUGUAUUGAAGUUCGCAGAUGCUAAGUGUACAGGUUGAUGGAUUUCAUGGUGAACAGCACCCAGAUCAGGAAAGAAGGCCGUCAGUUCUCGAGGAACAACCUUGUACCCCUUGAUCGCCCCCUACCCCUUCCAAGGGUGACCAGCGGCCCAGAUUCUAACCCCAGAGCCCAGCGUUUUGCCUGGUUUUGAACCUUAUGUAAGUACAACCGGGUGGGUGUUCAUGGGCUUGUUUUGCUCAGUGUUAUCCUUUGUGAGACCUGCUGUUGUGUUUCCAUUACCCCAGUAGUUCCAUAUGUGGAUAUAGGGCCGCCCUUCAGUUUUAUCGUAGACGGACAUUCAGGUGGUUUGAGACUUUUGCGACUGGCGCUGCCCUGGACAUCCGGGUACUUAUGUCCUCAUACGCAUGCGCAUGUAUUUCUGAGGGCCGAAUACCUACGCAUCGCGUUCUGCUUCAGUACUUCGUAUGAGACCGCUUUCUGUCCCUACAGCUUUUACCCGCAUUUAUGCUUUCGUUUUUGCAUCAACCUUUCGAUGUAGCCAUUUCAUCCCCAUUGGCAGGUGAGGAAACAAGGGCUCGGAAAGGCACCGUCAGUCCCUCGAGGUCACAGAGUCGGUUGAGCCGCAGGGAGAGCACACGAACUUGGAUUUGUGUGGCUCCAUCACACCACGAGCCCCCGAUGAUUCACUUGCUCUGUGGCCCCGCCCCAAUGGCACCCCUUCACCAACCCGUGCCCUGACCCAGCCUGGGGGAAUUAGUGGUGCUGCCGUCUGCUCCCCGGGCACCUGUGGGGCUCCCUGUGGCCGCCACGCGUGGUGAAGCGGCCGGCUCCGUGGUCAGACAGGCCGGGUCUGAGUGUCCGCGCCCCCGCUCGGUCACGGAGACUCGUGGCAAGUUGCGUUUAUUCCUUGGUGCGAUGAGGGUAAUGACGAUGGCGACCUCACACCUGUGGUGUGAAGGUUGAAGACGUGACGUCAGCAGGUGCUCAGGCAGGACCUGCACGUGGUAUCGGCAGUCAACAGGUGGAUGGACAGAGAGCGGCAUAGAUACUCCCGCAGACGAUUAGUCACAGCUACCACGGGGUCUGGCUCUCCUCCUCCGUCACUGAAGAGAUGUCAGCGGAUUCGGAUUAAACAAGCUUUUGUUGAUCAACUACUCUCUGCCAGAAGCCUCUAGAACCGUCUCACCCAUUAACUCCAUUAUUUUAAUUAAGUAGUUAACUGAAUUAAGUAAUUAAUCCAUGCCCAAUUUAAAGCUAGGGAAAGUAAGACUCAGAGAGGCAAAGCAACUUACCCCAAAUCGCCAGCUUCUGAGCAGCAGGGUCAAGUCAGUGUUGAGUCGCAUUCCCAGAGUGGCACGUUUCUCCUGUUU